UACGGUGAGGGAUGAAAGCUGGGGGAGCAAACCGGAUUAGAUACCCGGGUAGUCCCAGCUGUAAACGAUGCAGACUCGGUGAUGCAUUGGCUUGUGGCCAAUGCAGUGCCGCAGGGAAGCCGUUAAGUCUGCCGCCUGGGAAGUACGUACGCAAGUAUGAAACUUAAAGGAAUUGGCGGGGGAGCACCACAAGGGGUGAAGCCUGCGGUUCAAUUGGAGUCAACGCCG
RNAcentral lists this ribosomal RNA (228 nucleotides) under uncultured archaeon. RNAcentral's name for it is "partial 16S ribosomal RNA". It matches the Rfam family "Archaeal small subunit ribosomal RNA", at positions 693 to 920 of the family's 1478-position model. The record is from RNAcentral.